UUUACAUCUUAAAGAGCACCUAUUCCUGGAACAGUCAUAGGACUCCAACAAACAGAAAAACUAAUUACAUAUUGUUGCAAUCCCAUUAUUUUGAAUGUUUGCACCUGUCCAAAUGUUGAUCUUACUCCACAUAUCAUGUAUUUGCACUCAUCAUUAAAAGUAGACUCACUCUGUUAGAUGAAAAGUUCCGAUGAAUAUAGAGAACAUGAAAAUGUUAGAUGAACAAUUCAUAUGAGUCUUAAGAGUACACUAAGUUUUGGAUUUUCUAAGCAAUUUGUGAGUGAGUAUAAAAUUGGGGAGGAAGUGGAUUGAGGCCAAUUCGGGUAUACUUGUUCUACUAUUGUGAAGAAGGUGAGCUUGAAGGAUCAAAAAGUUCUUCGACUGCAUAUUGAAUUACCUACAAUGUCUGAUUGUUGAAGUACAUGGUGGGUAAAAUUUGUCAAUUUUAUGAGUCCAUCAUUCAUCUUUCAUCAAGUUUGGGG
RNAcentral lists this unclassified non-coding RNA (482 nucleotides) under Hevea brasiliensis (rubber tree). The record is from RNAcentral. Lineage: Eukaryota; Viridiplantae; Streptophyta; Magnoliopsida; Malpighiales; Euphorbiaceae.